CCGACCUUAGCUCAGUUGGUAGAGCGGAGGACGGUAGUUUGAUUAAUCUAAAUUGGAAAUCCUUAGGUCGCUGGUUCGAAUCCGGCAGGUCGGA
Molecule: transfer RNA, 94 nt
Filed under: Ipomoea nil (Japanese morning glory)
Lineage: Eukaryota; Viridiplantae; Streptophyta; Magnoliopsida; Solanales; Convolvulaceae
Rfam family: tRNA
About the family: Transfer RNA (tRNA) molecules are approximately 80 nucleotides in length. Their secondary structure includes four short double-helical elements and three loops (D, anti-codon, and T loops). Further hydrogen bonds mediate the characteristic L-shaped molecular structure. tRNAs have two regions of fundamental functional importance: the anti-codon, which is responsible for specific mRNA codon recognition, and the 3' end, to which the tRNAs corresponding amino acid is attached (by aminoacyl-tRNA synthetases). tRNAs cope with the degeneracy of the genetic code in two manners: having more than one tRNA (with a specific anti-codon) for a particular amino acid; and 'wobble' base-pairing, i.e. permitting non-standard base-pairing at the 3rd anti-codon position.
Source: Rfam by way of RNAcentral